ACAUAAAACAAAUGCCUGUUACUUGACAAAAGAUGCCAAGACUGGUUACUCACAGCUACCACCGUAAGUACACACAACUACACCCAAACUAUAAGUACACCCAAACUAUAAGGAUGUGCAGUGUCCUGUAUUAUGCAUUCUUAAGCUACACUUUAUUAUUUUCUUUUCUUUUCAGGAGCCAAGUGAAUAAGUAGGGAGUGGAACUUCACGAACAUCUGAUCUUUGUUUCACUUCAGUAGCUGAAAUUGCCAUGGUUGUGAAUAGUGUUGUAUCAAAGAAUCACUGACCAAACAUUACUUUGAAGAAAUUGAAUAUAGAUUAUAAUGAAAUUUGGGCUCCUCUGACACAGUUGCAAAGUGUUUAAAAAUAUAUAUUCAUUAAGUGAUUUUUAAUAUUUUUUCCACAGCUAAGUAUUGCAUUAUUAU
Scylla paramamosain (green mud crab) is the source of this 425-nucleotide long non-coding RNA. RefSeq lists it as uncharacterized. The record is from RefSeq and is a predicted model, not a curated record. The transcript has 2 exons. Lineage: Eukaryota; Metazoa; Arthropoda; Malacostraca; Decapoda; Portunidae.